RNAcentral lists this ribosomal RNA (503 nucleotides) under uncultured bacterium. RNAcentral describes it as "partial 16S ribosomal RNA". It matches the Rfam family "Bacterial small subunit ribosomal RNA", at positions 30 to 523 of the family's 1533-position model. The record is from RNAcentral.
ACUGAACGCUGGCGGCAGGCUUAACACAUGCAAGUCGAGCGGGGUGAUGGUGCUUGCACUAUCACUUAGCGGCGGACGGGUGAGUAAUGCUUAGGAAUCUGCCUAUUAGUGGGGGACAACAUCUCGAAAGGGAUGCUAAUACCGCAUACGUCCUACGGGAGAAAGCAGGGGAUCACUUGUGACCUUGCGCUAAUAGAUGAGCCUAAGUCGGAUUAGCUAGUUGGUGGGGUAAAGGCCUACCAAGGCGACGAUCUGUAGCGGGUCUGAGAGGUUGAUCCGCCACACUGGGACUGAGACACGGCCCAGACUCCUACGGGAGGCAGCAGUGGGGAAUAUUGGACAAUGGGGGGAACCCUGAUCCAGCCAUGCCGCGUGUGUGAAGAAGGCCUUAUGGUUGUAAAGCACUUUAAGCGAGGAGGAGGCUCUUUUGGUUAAUACCCAAGAUGAGUGGACGUUACUCGCAGAAUAAGCACCGGCUAACUCUGUGCCAGCAGCCGCGGUAA